This 489-nucleotide ribosomal RNA is filed under the name uncultured bacterium. RNAcentral describes it as "partial 16S ribosomal RNA". It matches the Rfam family "Bacterial small subunit ribosomal RNA", at positions 30 to 507 of the family's 1533-position model. The record is from RNAcentral.
UUGAACGCCGGCGGCAGGCCUAACACAUGCAAGUCGAACGGUAACAGGAAGAAGCUUGCUUCUUUGCUGACGAGUGGCGGACGGGUGAGUAAUGUCUGGGAAACUGCCUGAUGGAGGGGGAUAACUACUGGAAACGGUAGCUAAUACCGCAUAAUGUCGCAAGACCAAAAAGGGGGACCUUCGGGCCUCUUGCCAUCGGAUGUGCCCAGAUGGGAUUAGCUAGUAGGUGGGGUAACGGCUCACCUAGGCGACGAUCCCUAGCUGGUCUGAGAGGAUGACCAGCCACACUGGAACUGAGACACGGUCCAGACUCCUACGGGAGGCAGCAGUGGGGAAUAUUGCACAAUGGGCGCAAGCCUGAUGCAGCUAUGCCGCGUGUAUGAAGAAGGCCUUCGGGUUGUAAAGUACUUUCAGCGGGGAGGAAGGGAGUAAAGUUAAUACCUUUGCUCAUUGACGUUACCCGCAGAAGAAGCACCGGCUAACUCCGUG